AGGGAAUCCCCUGCCUCACCACCGAGCUUCGACGAGUUCGGGUCGUCGCGAAAAAGUAGGCGCACUCGUUCCACCGCAGAGCUCCGUGGCCGACGCGAGGCCCGCGCAGGCGCCUCCGAAGCAGGGCGACGGGGGAAGUCGCCGCGGGUUACACACUGACACGCCGGCACCCGCGGGACAGGAAAAAGAAGCCUCCGCAGCCCGACGGGUGCAGAAUUGCACCGAGAGCCGACGCCCGUCCCCUCGGCUUUACUGUCACCCGAAGCGGCUGGGUCUCCCCGGCCCCAGCCGUCCACCUUAAGGCCUCCGACGCAGGGCUACCUCCGCCACUGUCCCACAAUGCCCCGAGCGCGGGAGGACGCAAGAAGACAGGCUCCGCCCUCUCGUGGUCGCUCUCCGUGCGCAGGUGCGCGAGAGGCCGCUAGGUCGGCCUGGCGAGGCGCGUGCGCGGUGAGCGCUGGCGCCCAGAACCCGCCCACUCCGGAACUCCGCGGCUGUCCGUGCCCACGGUUGCCAAUGUUCUCUCCCUGAAUAAACCUAGAGGGCCCAGUGCGCAGGCGCUGCUGCAGCCAGAACCCCGUUUUCUGUGACUACAUUCCAAAAUCCGCUGAAUAUUCGGUUCUAGGAUCUUUCGCCCUGAAAGCUACCUUCGGAAAUCCGAUUGUUAUUCCGACUCCUUCAACCAUAUUUCUUUGACUCGAGUCAACUCCUAAGAAAUCCAUUCCAACUUUUCGUCCUCACGCGAAGCUGGUUGCUUUUGUUCAGUCGGGUUCGUCCCGGAUGCCUAAGCGUCUGCCGAGGUUUUCUGGCUGACCUCCUACUCAGGCAUUUGCCCAAGCCGCGUCUACUGUUGCCAGUUGCUGCACAAAGCCUCCUCUUGUAACAACCGGGAGGAACCCCUUAACGCCGGGAUUCAGUCACUAAAGGGCCUUUUCUAGCGCUGAGCCUCGGUUUACCCCAACUUUCAUCCCCUGCUCCUUCGUGCCCGUUUUAGAGGUCAGCUGUAAGGACUAGAUAAAUGCAUGUAAGAAACAUUAGUUUUCCUUUUUUAAAACAGCAGAUUAGGACUUUAUAUUUCGGGGACAUUUCACGUCAGUCAUUAUUUUGACUUUCAAGGGAUGUAGAUAUUUUUCUCCACCCCUUCUCAAAUGGCUUUAAUGGACUUGCACAGAUUAACACCUGUCAGUAAUUUUUUUCGUCUUGUCUCUCCUGGGCUGUGCUGCUUUUAAUUUUUGUUCGAUCUUGUAUCAACUGAGUUCUGUGUAAGAGAGCACCUUCAUAUUAAAAGUGAACAC
Molecule: long non-coding RNA, 1295 nt
Filed under: Mus musculus (house mouse)
Lineage: Eukaryota; Metazoa; Chordata; Mammalia; Rodentia; Muridae
Description: long non-coding RNA chr7:4658659-4659954
Source: RNAcentral